This 83-nucleotide transfer RNA is filed under the name Canis lupus familiaris (dog). It matches the Rfam family "tRNA". From Rfam's summary of the family: Transfer RNA (tRNA) molecules are approximately 80 nucleotides in length. Their secondary structure includes four short double-helical elements and three loops (D, anti-codon, and T loops). Further hydrogen bonds mediate the characteristic L-shaped molecular structure. tRNAs have two regions of fundamental functional importance: the anti-codon, which is responsible for specific mRNA codon recognition, and the 3' end, to which the tRNAs corresponding amino acid is attached (by aminoacyl-tRNA synthetases). tRNAs cope with the degeneracy of the genetic code in two manners: having more than one tRNA (with a specific anti-codon) for a particular amino acid; and 'wobble' base-pairing, i.e. permitting non-standard base-pairing at the 3rd anti-codon position. The record is from Rfam by way of RNAcentral. RNAcentral also lists the same sequence under 1 other name. Lineage: Eukaryota; Metazoa; Chordata; Mammalia; Carnivora; Canidae.
GCCUGAGUGGCUCAGCGGUUGAGCAUCUGCCUUUGGCUCAGGGCGUGAUCCUGGAGUUCCAGGAUCGAGUCCUGCAUCAGGCU